CCUUGAAGUGUGGGACUGCAGGUCCCUGGGGUCCGAUUGCAGAGAAUCUCCAACCAGCAGAUGAGCAUUCAGACAGACCUGAGGCUGUGUCCUCUGAUUUCUGAUUGUCCUCCAGCACUGUCACCCCCACCUCCACUUCCCACCCCUCCCAGGGGAAGGUAGCUGCAGACCCUAUGCCACGUAGCUUGAAGAAAGGAAAAGAGGAGUGUUAGCGGGAGACAUUUUCCCCCCAUUUUCUCCUAUUCUGUUUCCAUCAGUUGAUCAGACUCCCCAGGA
Ceratotherium simum simum (southern white rhinoceros) is the source of this 276-nucleotide non-coding RNA. NCBI's taxonomy places the organism in Eukaryota, Metazoa, Chordata, Mammalia, Perissodactyla, Rhinocerotidae. The record is from RefSeq and is a predicted model, not a curated record.